RNAcentral lists this ribosomal RNA (373 nucleotides) under uncultured organism. RNAcentral's name for it is "partial 16S ribosomal RNA". It matches the Rfam family "Bacterial small subunit ribosomal RNA", at positions 527 to 896 of the family's 1533-position model. The record is from RNAcentral.
GUAGGUGGCAAGCGUUGUCCGGAAUUAUUGGGCGUAAAGCGCGCGCAGGUGGUUCUUUAAGUCUGAUGUGAAAGCCCCCGGGCUCAACCGGGGAGGGUCAUUGGAAACUGGGGAACUUGAGUGCAGGAGAGGAAAGUGGAAUUCCACGUGUAGCGGUGAAAUGCGUAGAUAUGUGGAGGAACACCAGUGGCGAAGGCGUCUUUCUGGCCUGUAACUGACACUGAGGCGCGAAAGCGUGGGGAGCAAACAGGAUUAGAUACCCUGGUAGUCCACGCCGUAAACGAUGAGUGCUAAGUGUUGGGGGGUUUCCGCCCCUCAGUGCUGCAGCUAACGCAUUAAGCACUCCGCCUGGGGAGUACGGUCGCAAAGACUG